AUGAAUAGAAUGCAGAGGAAACUAUGGAUGCAACGUGUUGGUUUGGUGUUGCAGCCACAGACAUCAUGCCAUAGAAGGUGUAGUACAAUAAUGUGAAGUACAUGAAGAAUAGGUACCAAAAGAACUUAGCAGCGGUCCAUUCAAAUCCAAUCAUUGCAUAGACUAUAAGGCCAUAUACCACAGCUUGAAAGAAAAUAUAUGGGAGCUCAAUCACAACCUGCGCAAAGGCAUAGGGCAAAGGGGAAUACAUUCCAGCAGCUCUUUCUCUGUAGAAGACAGUUCUUUCAACAGAAACUACUGGUUGCACAGAUGAAGCAUUUUGGAUUCCAAGGAAGACAAUUGCAGCAUACAUUGAUCCCAUUGCAUUGAAAAGAUCUUGCCGCUUUGUCGUUUUGGAGCCAAGGUCCCAGAACAUCGUUCCAAAAGUCAAAGCUAUGAC
RNAcentral lists this unclassified non-coding RNA (439 nucleotides) under Hevea brasiliensis (rubber tree). The record is from RNAcentral. Lineage: Eukaryota; Viridiplantae; Streptophyta; Magnoliopsida; Malpighiales; Euphorbiaceae.